UACCACGCGAGUGGAUGCCAAUCCCCAAAACCCUCUCUCAGUUCGGACUGGAGUCUGCAACCCGACUCCACGAAGCUGGAUUCGCUAGUAAUCGCGCAUCAGCCACGGCGCGGUGAAUACGUUCCCGGGCCUUGUACACACCGCCCGUCAAGCCAUGGGGAGCCGGGGGGUACCUGAAGUGCGUAACCGCGAGGAGCGCCCUAGGGUAAAACUGGUGACUGGGGCUAAGUCGUAACAAGGUACC
RNAcentral lists this ribosomal RNA (244 nucleotides) under uncultured bacterium. RNAcentral's name for it is "partial 16S ribosomal RNA". It matches the Rfam family "Bacterial small subunit ribosomal RNA", at positions 1251 to 1500 of the family's 1533-position model. The record is from RNAcentral.